CAUGGCCUAGUAUUCUUAUGUGAAGUCUACCAAGCUUGUGCUCAAGGGAACCGAGGUGAAGUAGUAAGAAGAAAAAGAGCAAAGAUAAGAAGAGAAAAAGAGAAGAUGAAGAAACCCAGCUUUAGGAAUCUGGUGAACAGUAACAAACUUUGGUGAAAUUUCAGGAACCAUAGCCAUUGAAGUGGAUGAGGGAACCUAUAUACAUGCACUCAACAAUGGUCUUUUUACCCUGGGAGCUCCACACAAGUUGAUGAGGGCCCUAGUCCUCCAGAGCAGUUUAUGGCUGUCAAAUUAUCUGAUUCCAAAUAUCUUAGUAUAAAUUCAGAUGAACUUGUUGUUGGCGUUCAGAUGCAAUUGGACCAAGAGAACAAUGGGAACCAGUCUUUCAAAAUGUGAGUGCUGUUAUUGUUUAUAAAAACUUC
This 422-nucleotide long non-coding RNA is filed under the name Homo sapiens (human). Its description in RNAcentral is "long non-coding RNA NONHSAT131635". The record is from RNAcentral. Lineage: Eukaryota; Metazoa; Chordata; Mammalia; Primates; Hominidae.